GAUGAACGCUGGCGGCGUGCUUAACACAUGCAAGUCGAACGAUGAAGCCCAGCUUGCUGGGUGGAUUAGUGGCGAACGGGUGAGUAACACGUGAGUAACCUGCCCUUAACUCUGGGAUAAGCCUGGGAAACUGGGUCUAAUACCGGAUAGGAGCGUCCACCGCAUGGUGGGUGUUGGAAAGAUUUAUCGGUUUUGGAUGGACUCGCGGCCUAUCAGCUUGUUGGUGAGGUAAUGGCUCACCAAGGCGACGACGGGUAGCCGGCCUGAGAGGGUGACCGGCCACACUGGGACUGAGACACGGCCCAGACUCCUACGGGAGGCAGCAGUGGGGAAUAUUGCACAAUGGGCGCAAGCCUGAUGCAGCGACGCAGCGUGAGGGAUGACGGCCUUCGGGUUGUAAACCUCUUUCAGUAGGGAAGAAGCGAAAGUGACGGUACCUGCAGAAGAAGCACCGGCUAACUACGUG
Molecule: ribosomal RNA, 466 nt
Filed under: uncultured bacterium
Lineage: Bacteria
Description: partial 16S ribosomal RNA
Rfam family: Bacterial small subunit ribosomal RNA
Source: RNAcentral